UCCCCCUAAGGCAAAAGACCAGAAAAUAUCAGAAAAUCAAGGACAGUGAUAAUAUCGGAGUCACCUACGCAAAGUGGUUUGAUAGAACCAAGAAUGAUAAUCACGCCUCUAGAAGAAAUUGGUUGGACCAAGUUUCCCAGAUCGGUGAGACCGGGUUGCGAAGUAAAUCAACUCCUGAACUGAAAAAUAGACAGAAACAAAAUCUAAGGAUACCAGUUUGAGAAAGAAAAUAAUAAAAAUAAUAUUUUUUAGAAAUAUACAUAAAUAUAGAUGAUAGUUGAAUGGUUCCAAGAAGAUAUGAAAUGACAAAUUUGAACCAUACAAGAAUCUCCAUUUAGAUGUGGGGCGGUUACUAGGUCACCUAUAUUAGAGUACUUAACUUGAGGGGUCAAGCAAGGAUGCUUGAUCAUAGGUCAUACUCAUCGUUAAGCGUAAAAUGGGGUUACCAUUUUUUGAUUAAGCAUUUCAAUGUCUUCAUAUCACUUGAGUUUCUUUACCUCAUGAAUUGGUGUAAAGCUUUAUCAAUGAUAUGAGUACAGACCUUCGAAUGAUGUUCAUGACUUGGCAUGUAGGCGAACUUAUUGUGGAUGCUCAAUAUUGAUGAAGAUCAUCUUGAGUUGAAAGCAAUCAUUGUCAUUUUGGUUCACUUUUCACCUACAUUCGUUAGUCAUGCAAGGAACAAGAUAUUAUAUCUGAAUGACAAGAGUGAAUGAAUUCAUCAAAUGAUAGUCAAGUAUAUGAUUUUGUUGUCUUCUUCCUUCAUCUCCGAAGAAGGGGUUGUUGAUACUUGGACAUGACAAGAUUCCUUUUGAUGUGAGUUGAUGACAAUCUUGUGGAAUGUAGUUGUAACGUCCAAGAUGCAGUCCUAUCCUUCUUUUGGCACAAGGGCCUCGACACGGAUAGAAACGCAUCUCGUCGUUUCGCAAGAAUCGAUAUCGUUACAAGUACAUGUACUGAAAAGGUGAGUAUAAGGAAUUGGCUUACACUCACCAGAAGCUACAUCAAUAUCACAUCAAUACAAAAAUAUACAGUCAUCAUGAAGAAGAGCAAGGUUUGACUACGAACGAAAUCAAACGAUAAAAGAACGACCUCCAUCCUUGCUAUCCCAGGUUGCCGGCCUGUAACACAUCCUAGAUCGAUGAUGAAGAAGAAGAAACUCCAAAUAGCACAAUCAACGCGCUCACGUCAAAUUAACUCUUUACAUGUACCUGCAACUGGUGUUGUAGUAAUCUGUGAGCCACAGGGACUCGGCAAUCUCAUUUCCAAAAGUAUCAAGACUAGCAAAGCUUGAUGGGUGAGGUAUGGUUAAGUGGUGAGGCUGCAGCAAGCGCCUAUGCAUUUAUUUGAGGUGGCUAACUUACGAGUACAAGAAUAGGAGGGGGACGAUUUACGCAUAACCGGACAUGAACUAAUAAUGAUCAAAUGAAUGAUCCUCAACACCUACUUACAUCACACAUAACCCCAUCGUGUCCUCGAUCAGAGAAGGAGCUCGCGAAAGAGACAGUCAUGGUUACGCACUCAGUUCACACAUUUUAAUUAAGCUUACUUUAAGUUAUCUAGAACCGGAUGUUAAACAAAGUUUCCACGUUGCCACAUAACCGUGGGUAUGGCUUUCUGAAAGAUUGAACCCUACAGGGGUACUCCAACUACUCCAUCACAAACUACCACAUGCUGCGACGGAAUGACCUCGAUGAGGGAAAACAUGUGAUCUUCUUGGGUUCCUAUUGAAAAGCCUCAACAUCAAGAUGGCCCAAAGUAUCCUCGCAAUCCCUCACACAAAACGCUCGAGAAAGGUAAAGCAAGUCCAGCAAGGCCACCCAAAGUGCCGACAAUCCCGAUAGGAGCCGCGUAUCUCGUUCUUAGGGAACAAUCGGAUGAGGGCAGCAUACAGUGGCCUGAUAAAAAUCACCCUAGUUGCCCCGGGUUUGCCCCGCACACGACUCUGUUUAGGAGCAGCACAAUCAGCACUAACUCCCUAUGUAUUAUGUUGAAUUACUCCUCGGGUAGCGCUAACUCCCUAUGUUUUCGGUAUUAACAAAGCUGUUAUGUUGAGAAAAUAUAGUACCAAUGUUGGUCCUUACCAGACGAGCUUUAUCACAAAACGAGAAUUUAGGGGGUCCCCAUAACAACCCCAAGCAUGUUAGCAACGCUCAUUUAUGGAACAUAACAUUGGUAGCCGAAACUAAGGCGACAAAGGUGGAACAAAACACUAGACUAAAAAGGCCAAGCCUUCCACCUUUUACCAAGUAUAUAGGUGCAUUAAUUUAAAUAGCACUAAUAAGGUGAUAUAAAAAGGAACCCAUGUUAUCACAUGGAAGCAACUACACCUGCAACUAGCAACUCUAUCAAAUGGUUAAGCAAGUGGUAACAUAACCAAUCGGUGGUUUGCUAGGUUGUAGAACAACUGAAGGUUUUCAUGGUAAUAUUGGGAGGCUUAUUAAACAGGUGGUAGGCAGCAAUACAUAGUGAUAGAAACGAUAUAACUUGCAUGGAAAUGAUAGUAGUGGUAUCUAGGAAAAUGAUCAUCUUACAUGUAAUCCCGCUUGAAAGAACGACUCCGUGAAGCAGACGAACCUACGUAGUCGAACGGAUCCUCACAUUUUGACACAUUUGUGGAACUCUAUCGAGACGACCAAACCAGAAACAAGAAUCAACACACGAUAUUAACCAUGGCACAUGAACGACAUGAUGCACAACACAUAUGAUGCAUGCUCGAUUAAAUCAUUCAAGGCACGGCAUGGCAAUUCACAAUCAAACACUACACAUUAAGUGAAGCUCAAUAUGCAACGAGUUGCAUACUGAAGAAACUCCACAAUUGAAUUAUUUAUUUCACUCCAUUGAAGUACAAAGAAAUAUUAAAUGUUGUUGAACAUGGCAAGGGGUGAAUCACAAAUAAUCUACCUAUCUAGGCAUUUUAAAUGAGGCCGGAAACGACAUAUAGCAUCUCCGAACCGACUCCACACGUUAACUUUGUAAUCUGUCCAAAUCUAUCCUAACUGCAUUUUAUGUUUGUUAAACGGCAAAACAAAGUGGAUCACGUGAUUUUACUCGUCGUUCUAGUCCAUUUACAUAAAUGGCUCAUCUCCAACGGAGCUACGCUUAAUUAACUACGGACUAAACCAUUUUUAUCACAUCGACACACAAACCAAUGCAAACAGCAUGCUAAACAGUAAAUAUGCAUGAAAGUUGGAAAAUAAUAUUCUAUGCGAAAAUCUACAUGUUCUACAUACAUAAUUUGUCGCGAUCCGACACACAGCUUAAAAACUACGGGCGUUCUAAAAUAGGCAUCUAAUGAAAAUUGCAAUUACUAGACGAAAGAAAAACUACGAGCAACAGACACAGGCUGGGCUAGCCACUGCCAAUGACAGUGGGGCCGCACAGGUGGUCAACUGGUCAACUCAAUAUCAGUCAAUCAUGGCGUUGGGCCCCGGAUAUCGUUGUCUCAUAGAAAAAAGGAAAAAAAUGGCCCAGGGUGAAACAAGAUGGCACUAGCCACUCGAUCUACUCCAUGUACCACGGCAGGAAUAAAAUGAAAAACCAAAUAACCUAACAUGUCGGACGGAUCUAGGGAGAACACAACCUUUCUGCCAUGGUUGUGAGCUUCUCACCAGCGAGGAACGGGAAGGCAGCGGCGAUGAUGUCCGGUGGCGCGGUCCGGAAGCGGUGGAUCCGAUGACACGGGCUCCAUUUCCAGCGUCAGGGGAUCAAUUCGCGGUGGACCGCUGGUGCACAAGCUGCGAGCACCCCAUCCAUGGUGGGGUUGAUGUUCCUGUUGGUCAAGAGAGAGAGAGAGAGNNNNN
This 3800-nucleotide long non-coding RNA is filed under the name Hordeum vulgare. Its description in RNAcentral is "long non-coding RNA (HVUL_LNC018750)". The record is from RNAcentral. Lineage: Eukaryota; Viridiplantae; Streptophyta; Magnoliopsida; Poales; Poaceae.